CUGCAUUAGACUUAUAUACUAUAUACUUAGACUAAUAACUGUGUUACCAUCAUCACAAUGCUCAAAUGUUGCUGUUUUUUUGCCUAAAUUGGCUCUUUUGAUAGUAAAGCUUGCUGACCCCUGUGCUAGGUGAUCAGAACGCACCUAAUGAUUUUUACAGUGUGGUUACAGUAUAAGUUCCUCUUCCCCCACUGAAAUAAUCAUCGCUGUUGUGAUUGGUUGGCACGGUACGGUAACCAUGGCUACACACAGAUAGACAGACAACAUAUUAAUGGCACUCAACCAGAGAUUAAUCAUUUUUAACCCCUUUCUUAAUGAUGAAUAAAUUAAGAAUAUCUUAUUGUCCUAAUCUAAAAUCAUCAAUUUAACAACUUUGCAGCAGUUAUUCAUUCAUCGAUUAAGAUUAGCUAAAGUAUGGAGUUAACAUGAACUAAUUUUACAAUGAUUCAGCUAGUUGCAGGUUUGGGAUUUGUUAUGAUGAAUAAUUAUAAGCCAUUGAUUCAUUCCAUUCAUGAUAAUAUCAUGUAAAGAGCUGGUUUCUCCAGAAGGGGGAGCAGUAAGACUGAUAAUUCACCUCCUCCUGGUUUCACUACUUUGUUCUCAGGUUUCUCUUCUGGUUAAACACCCUGGGUAUAUAGAUAUGAAUAAAAAUGAACAAAAAUAAUACAGCUACAUAAAAUAAAUACUGAAGUUUAUACACACAAGUUUUUGUGUGUUUGCAAAUAUUGAGUUUCUUUUUUAAAACAAAUGUUAAAACAUGCCUUUACUCUGGCAAGAAAACUAUCAUGUGGAAAGUAACUAACAUUUACUAAACUACUGUACUGAACUACAACUUUGAGGUACUUGUACUUUACUUGAGUCUUUCUACUUCUACUCGGACUCUUUAGUUACUUUACAAAUUAAGAUUUUUACACACAAAACAUAUGAAGAGUUUAUAAAAUAUGAUGUUUUGUUAUAAAUUAAACUCUCCAACAGUUUAUACAAGUACAGCUAAAACCAAAUCAGUCGAUUGACAAAAAAAUGUUGUCGAUUGACAAAGUCAUUUUUCAUGUAAAACAUUUCAUGGUUUCCGAUUUGCUGCAUUUCCUUUUAAUAAUGUAAAUAAUUGUAAUGUUGAGGUCUGGACGUGUAACAGAGUAUUUUACAGUGUGGUAUUAGUACUUUUACUUAAGUAAAGGAUCUGGAUACUUCCUCCACCACUGAUAUUUUGUAUGUAGUACUUUACUAUGAUAUAUAUUUUGCUAUGCAGCAGGUUUAAUAGCACAGUAUGUUUAAAGGCGUUUCUGCAGCUACGGUCACUUUUGACCGUAACAAAUAUCAACCUCUAUGAAUUUUAAUUUUAACCAUCAGAGUAUGUAAUACAUAUAAACAGGUACAUAAAAUUACAUCUAGUGGUUAAGAUUUUAAUCUGAAAAUAUGUUUGUUUUUAUGGUUUUUCAUCACUUGUUCUUACUAAAUGUCCUCACCGCAACAAAACAAUAAUGUUUCUUGUUUAAUUUCUAUAAUAUUUUAAGACUUUUAAAUUAAUUUUCCUCAUUUUCAUCAAGCUUUAUGCAUCAUUGUAAAUAUUGAUAAACAAAAAUUUAAAAAAAUGUAGACAGUAACCAUUGAUGUCAGUCUUCAUGCACAAAAAAUAUAAAAUAUGCUGUGUUUUAUGACAGAUAUUGUAAUUCUAAUUCCUAAUGUUUAAAAACAUUUUUGCUAAUAUUGCAGAUAAAUGGCAGCUAGCAGGGUCUGCUAUGUUAGCUUUGACUCUUAGCAUCUAAUAUACAUGAAAUCAACAGUAAUAUUAAGUUAUUUUUUUAAUGUAGUUCAAAACACACAAUCACUAAGGUGUGUGGCAAGGACACACAAUAAAUACUUCAGAAGAAAAGGUGAUCUUCACCUGGUUUUUCUUGAUCUUGAGGGUCACCAUGUGGGCGGCCCAACCUGUCAUCCAUGUGCUCAUUUGUUAACUUCGGUUUCCAUGGAAACUAGAUUUGUUUGGCUUUGAAUAAAACUUUUACUAU
This is a long non-coding RNA of Sebastes umbrosus (honeycomb rockfish), 2009 nucleotides long. RefSeq lists it as uncharacterized. The transcript has 2 exons. The record is from RefSeq and is a predicted model, not a curated record. NCBI's taxonomy places the organism in Eukaryota, Metazoa, Chordata, Actinopteri, Perciformes, Sebastidae.